CACGUAGGGGGCAAGCGUUGUCCGGAUUUAUUGGGCGUAAAGAGCUCGUAGGCGGUUCGGUAAGUCGGGUGUGAAACCUCCAGGCUCAACCUGGAGACGCCACCCGAUACUGCUGUGACUAGAGUCCGGUAGGGGAGCGUGGAAUUCCUGGUGUAGCGGUGGAAUGCGCAGAUAUCAGGAGGAACACCGAUGGCGAAGGCAGAUCUCUGGGCCGUAACUGACGCUGAGGAGCGAAAGCGUGGGGAGCGAACAGG
RNAcentral lists this ribosomal RNA (254 nucleotides) under uncultured bacterium. RNAcentral's name for it is "partial 16S ribosomal RNA". It matches the Rfam family "Bacterial small subunit ribosomal RNA", at positions 524 to 776 of the family's 1533-position model. The record is from RNAcentral.